Molecule: ribosomal RNA, 253 nt
Filed under: uncultured bacterium
Lineage: Bacteria
Description: partial 16S ribosomal RNA
Rfam family: Bacterial small subunit ribosomal RNA
Source: RNAcentral
UACGUAGGGGGCUAGCGUUGUCCGGAUUUAUUGGGCGUAAAGAGCGUGUAGGCGGCCAAGUAGGUCCGGUGUGAAAACUCGAGGCUUAACCUCGAGAUGUCAUCGGAAACCAUUUGGCUAGAGUCCGGAAGAGGUGAGUGGAACUGCGAGUGUAGAGGUGAAAUUCGUAGAUAUUCGCAAGAACACCAGUGGCGAAGGCGGCUCACUGGUCCGGUACUGACGCUGAGGUGCGAAAGCGUGGGGAGCAAACAGG